Non-coding RNA from Cucurbita pepo subsp. pepo (vegetable marrow), 758 nucleotides. Lineage: Eukaryota; Viridiplantae; Streptophyta; Magnoliopsida; Cucurbitales; Cucurbitaceae. The record is from RefSeq and is a predicted model, not a curated record.
GGAGAAGACAGUGGAAUAACACGUUGAACUUCUUCAAGUGUACUUGGGCUCAAGGAAUCAAGCAUGUUCAUAGUAAACGAGUGUUCAAAUACAACUAUCCACUUUUGAAGAAGAAAUAUCUACUAAAGAGUUGGUUCCAUGUGGGUGGAAAAGAAGAUGAUGAUUAUUAAUAUAUCAUUACAAUGGUGUUGAAUGAUCAAUCUACAAUGAUGGGAGAGAUGCAGGCUGCUGCAGAUGAAGAAGAAGGAGCCAGUAGGUCAGUGAGAGGUCUUUUUUUUAUUUUUUUAUUUUUUAAAAUUUUUAAAUGGAGGGAAUUUACUCUUAUUAGUUUAUAAUUCUAAUUCCAAAUGAUUUCUUCAACUUUAUUCCUUCUUCCUAGUUGCCCUACAUUGGUGGACCAGUUAUCCAUGUAAAAGAAUGUAGGAUUUGAAAGCUUUAUUAGAAGAUGGAAUAGUCUUAAAGGGAGAGCUGUAAAGCAAAAGCAGAGCAGCAGAUGAAAUCUGCUUUUGAUCUUCCUCUUAAAAAAAGAAGAGCCAUAGAAAAAUCUACUGCACCUCUUCCCCUCCUUCCCUUCUCUUCUUCUUGAAUAGAAAACAUUGUUUUUGUUUUUGUUUUUCUUCUUUUCUGUGAUCUACAAUUAUAAAUUGCAUUUUGGGAUCCAUGUUGUUGUACCUUUUCCCCCCUUUUAAUGCAGAGGUGUUUCCCCCCCUUAGUUUAUCAAAUUUCAUUGAUCAAUAAAGUUGAGUCACAUUUGUUUU